UCAGAGAGAUAAGGCAGAAACAGAAAGCAGUAGAGGAGAGGGUGAAGGGGGAGAAGGACUGUUUACACUUCCCUUUAGGUUAUAGUUCACUAGGCACAGAGAAACCUUUAGGCUGAACUUAAAAUAUGUGAGUAGCUUUAGGCUAAACUUGAUUUAACAGGGAGAAACAGGACUUUGCAAAAAUUCUUUUAGGGAGUGUACUAUCGAGCACAUUUGAAGACCACAGGUCUGGAAAGCGGGGAAGACGGGACCCAGAGUCCCCCGCAGCAGCGUCACGGCCCAGCUCUGGUUCUCAAGUUGGGCUGCUGUUUUUCCCUUUUUUCUCUUCCGCCAGGAUGCCAGGCGCUGCUGAAGCUGCAGCCGAAAGGAUUUAGAAUUCCUUACAACGGAGAAAGGGUCUUUGCUCAGACAACAUGGACUUAAGAGAUGGAAGGGCCAAAAAGGCUCGAAAACAGGCUCGAAGAGUGGCUUCCUGCUAGCUAGAAGCUUAAGUGGGGACAGAUGAGCUUAACCGGCAAGCCUGCGUGUGUGCUCUCCAGCCCCCGUGAUUCAGUUUAAAUCUGGGCGGGUCUCCUCAAAGACAGUUCCAGAAUGGGCCACGUGAGGGCAGUAAGAGCCUCUCAAUGCCUGUUUUUGGGGGAAGAGAGAAGUGAGGGCGGAGCGCGGGGAGUGUCCCAGGCCUGGCUACCCAGAUAACUUCCCGAAAAGAAGCUAUGCUCAGGCCUUCCCAUCGUCCCACUGAAGAGCUUUCUUCAUAUUGGUCCCUUGGUUGAAUUCUGUCUUCUGAAGAGGCAAGAAUUGAGGUUGCUGCAGACCUGUAUGGAUUCGCCACCAGUAACAAGAUCUCAGAACAUUGGGAAAAUCGAUGCCAAAAAAAAAAGGAUAUCUUAGGCCCCUCUCCUUCCUCCAGCCAACGUCAACCUGCACCCAGCAGGCUGGGCAGGAAGCUCAGUGUCUUCAUCCCAGCCAGUCUCUGAAGAGAAACUGGAAACGUUUCCAGUUAACUAAGCCAGUUGCUCCAAAAAGGCCCCCCAUUCCUGGGUCACUUUCCUCUGACCUGUUCCUAAGUCAGGUUUGCACUGGUUUGGGGUGGAUGGGCUGCAAGAACUGUUUUCAGAUUUCCCAGACCUCGCUCUCUCCUUUUCGUAAACACCUUGACCUAAAUUUCCCAUCCACUGCUUGCUGGUCAGCACUCCAUUGACAAUUUCCAACUUCAGCUGUUCCUAAAGGAACAACUGGGGUCCAAGAUAGCCCAUUGGACCUAUCUGCCUUAAACAGUAGAGUUCCUGUUCUCUCCUCUGGGGUGGUUGUCACAGGAACUCAUGGCAACCAGAUCUUCCCCAACAGAGGAACUUCUCAAAGUUGUGGGUGGUUAUCAGGGCCAGGCAGAGGCUAUGCUGUUGUAUAUAGUGAUGCCUCUGGGGGAUUCACAACGAAAGAACCAUGAGUGGGUGUGUGGGUGUGUGGAGAGAGAUAGAGAGACGAGACAGAGAGAGCACCAAGAGACUUUUGUCACGGUAGCCAGGAAUGGACUAUUUUGGGUUAUUUUGAGUUGGAAUCUCACUCUGUCACCCAGGCUGGAGUGCAGUGGUGCCAUCACAGCUUACUGUAGCCUCUAAUUCCUGGGCUCAAGCAAUCCUCCCACUCCAGCCUCCCAACUGGCUAGGACUACAGGCUUGCAGCACAGACGCGGUGGCUGUGCACCUGUGGAGUUCAAGACCAGCCUGAGCAACACAAUGAAAUACAAAAAAUACAAAAAUUAGGCGUGGUGGCAUGCACCUGUAGUCCCAGCUAUUUGGAAGACUGAGGCAGGAGGAUAGCUUGAGCCCAGGAGGUGGAGGUUGCAGUGAUCCAAGAUGGCACCAUUGGACUCCAGCCUAAGUGACAGAGCCAGACCCUCUCUCAAAAAAAAAAAAAAAAAAAAAAAAUCCCCAGCUUUUCCACUUAGUGGCUAUAAGAUCUUGCUGAUUUAAGAUAUUCAGCUUCUUGGAGCCAAAGUUUCCCCAUCUGUAAAAUGGGAAUGACAAUAAUAAUACCUACCUGAUAGUGGUUUUGAUGAUUACACAAUGUAAUAUGUAUAAACGGCC
Long non-coding RNA from Pongo pygmaeus (Bornean orangutan), 2087 nucleotides. RefSeq lists it as uncharacterized. The transcript has 3 exons. Lineage: Eukaryota; Metazoa; Chordata; Mammalia; Primates; Hominidae. The record is from RefSeq and is a predicted model, not a curated record.